UACGUAGGGCGCAAGCGUUGUCCGGAAUUAUUGGGCGUAAAGAGCUCGUAGGCGGUUUGUCGCGUCUGUCGUGAAAGCUUGGGGCUUAACCCCAAGUCUGCGGUGGAUACGGGCAGACUAGAGGCAGGUAGGGGAGAACGGAAUUCCCGGUGUAGCGGUGAAAUGCGCAGAUAUCUGGAGGAACACCGGUGGCGAAGGCGGUUCUCUGGGCCUGUACUGACGCUGAGGAGCGAAAGCGUGGGGAGCGAACAGG
Molecule: ribosomal RNA, 253 nt
Filed under: uncultured bacterium
Lineage: Bacteria
Description: partial 16S ribosomal RNA
Rfam family: Bacterial small subunit ribosomal RNA
Source: RNAcentral